AGAUUAAGUUAUUAAGGGCGCACGGUGGAUGCCUUGGCACUAGAAGCCGAUGAAGGACGUUACUAACGACGAUAUGCUUUGGGGAGCUGUAAGUAAGCUUUGAUCCAGAGAUUUCCGAAUGGGGAAACCCAGCAUGAGUUAUGUCAUGUUAUCGAUAUGUGAAUACAUAGCAUAUCAGAAGGCACACCCGGAGAACUGAAACAUCUUAGUACCCGGAGGAAGAGAAAGAAAAUUCGAUUCCCUUAGUAGCGGCGAGCGAAACGGGAAGAGCCCAAACCAACAAGCUUGCUUGUUGGGGUUGUAGGACACUCUAUACGGAGUUACAAAGGACGACAUUAGACGAAUCAUCUGGAAAGAUGAAUCAAAGAAGGUAAUAAUCCUGUAGUCGAAAAUGUUGUCUCUCUUGAGUGGAUCCUGAGUACGACGGACCACGUGAAAUUCCGUCGGAAUCUGGGAGGACCAUCUCCUAAGGCUAAAUACUCUCUAGUGACCGAUAGUGAACCAGUACCGUGAGGGAAAGGUGAAAAGCACCCCGGAAGGGGAGUGAAAUAGAACCUGAAACCGUGUGCUUACAAGUAGUCAGAGCCCGUUAAUGGGUGAUGGCGUGCCUUUUGUAGAAUGAACCGGCGAGUUACGAUUUGAUGCAAGGUUAAGCAGUAAAUGUGGAGCCGUAGCGAAAGCGAGUCUGAAUAGGGCGUUUAGUAUUUGGUCGUAGACCCGAAACCAGGUGAUCUACCCUUGGUCAGGUUGAAGUUCAGGUAACACUGAAUGGAGGACCGAACCGACUUACGUUGAAAAGUGAGCGGAUGAACUGAGGGUAGCGGAGAAAUUCCAAUCGAACCUGGA
RNAcentral lists this ribosomal RNA (846 nucleotides) under Staphylococcus aureus. Its description in RNAcentral is "partial 23S ribosomal RNA". It matches the Rfam family "Bacterial large subunit ribosomal RNA", at positions 1 to 843 of the family's 2925-position model. Lineage: Bacteria; Bacillati; Bacillota; Bacilli; Caryophanales; Staphylococcaceae. The record is from RNAcentral.